RNAcentral lists this ribosomal RNA (429 nucleotides) under bacterium. Its description in RNAcentral is "partial 16S ribosomal RNA". It matches the Rfam family "Bacterial small subunit ribosomal RNA", at positions 355 to 776 of the family's 1533-position model. The record is from RNAcentral.
UAGGGAAUCUUCCACAAUGGACGCAAGUCUGAUGGAGCAACGCCACGUGAGUGAAGAAGGUUUUCGGAUCGUAAAGCUCUGUUGUUGGUGAAGAAGGAUAGAGGUAGUAACUGGCCUUUAUUUGACGGUAAUCAACCAGAAAGUCACGGCUAACUACGUGCCAGCAGCCGCGGUAAUACGUAGGUGGCAAGCGUUGUCCGGAUUUAUUGGGCGUAAAGCGAGCGCAGGCGGAAGAAUAAGUCUGAUGUGAAAGCCCUCGGCUUAACCGAGGAACUGCAUCGGAAACUGUUUUUCUUGAGUGCAGAAGAGGAGAGUGGAAUUCCAUGUGUAGCGGUGGAAUGCGUAGAUAUAUGGAAGAACACCAGUGGCGAAGGCGACUCUCUGGUCUGCAACUGACGCUGAGGCUCGAAAGCAUGGGUAGCGAACAGG